Octopus sinensis (East Asian common octopus) is the source of this 758-nucleotide long non-coding RNA. RefSeq lists it as uncharacterized. NCBI's taxonomy places the organism in Eukaryota, Metazoa, Mollusca, Cephalopoda, Octopoda, Octopodidae. The record is from RefSeq and is a predicted model, not a curated record. The transcript is spliced from 2 exons.
AAGCCAUUUCAUUGUGACAUUUGUGGUAAAUCAUUCCCUCAACGUAAUAACUUGACUACACACCAACGUAUUCAUACAGGGGAGAAGCCAUUUCACUAUGACAUCUGUGGUAAAUCAUUCCCUCAACAUAAUAACUUGACUACACUCCAACGUAUUCAUACAGGGGAGAAACCAUUUCAUUGUGACAUCUGUGGUAAAUCAUUCCCUCAACAUAAUAACUUGACUACACACCAACGUAUUCAUACAGGGGAGAAACCAUUUCACUGUGACAUCUGUGGUAAAUCAUUCUUUGAAAAAGGUAGCUUGACUACACACAAACGUAUUCAUACAGGGGAGAAACCAUUCCAGUGUGACAUCUGUGGUAAAUCAUUCUCUGUAAGCAUUACAUUAACUAGACACAAAUGUAUUCAUACUGGAGAGAAACCUUAUUGAUGUGAUGUCUGUGGUAGAUACUUCUCCCUGCAAAUUGCUUUAAAUUCUCACAAACGUGUUCAUACAGGAUAGAAGUCGUAUCACUGUAACAUCUGUAGUGAAACAUUUUCUAUAAGUAGUGAUAAAUGACUGCUCAGUACUUUUGGUGUUAACUAAAUGUAUAACUAUUGGUAUAGAUGUAUGACUACCAAUGUGACCAUUUUAAGAACCAUAAGCAUUUUCAGCUCCUCCUAAAUUGGUGGUACUGUUGUGGGCUUUCUCCAUGGCAAUAACCAAGCUAUUCAUCAGGGAAUUGCUGUAAUUGUAAGAGUUCCUUCUAUGCCAAA